CGUGUGUGAAUUCAACCCUGGCUUCCACAGUGAUUUAAAGAAGAGAAAAGCACAUGAAGAUAUUACACAACAUAUUCAUCAUACGCUGCUACACCACAGGAAGAAAGUCG
Molecule: long non-coding RNA, 110 nt
Organism: Neolamprologus brichardi
Lineage: Eukaryota; Metazoa; Chordata; Actinopteri; Cichliformes; Cichlidae
Source: RefSeq, a predicted model, not a curated record